Molecule: ribosomal RNA, 496 nt
Filed under: uncultured bacterium
Lineage: Bacteria
Description: partial 16S ribosomal RNA
Rfam family: Bacterial small subunit ribosomal RNA
Source: RNAcentral
GACGAACGCUGGCGGCGUGCCUAAUACAUGCAAGUUGAGCGCUGAAGGUUGGUACUUGUACCAACUGGAUGAGCAGCGAACGGGUGAGUAACGCGUGGGGAAUCUGCCUUUGAGCGGGGGACAACAUUUGGAAACGAAUGCUAAUACCGCAUAAAAACUUUAAACACAAGUUUUAAGUUUGAAAGAUGCAAUUGCAUCACUCAAAGAUGAUCCCGCGUUGUAUUAGCUAGUUGGUGAGGUAAAGGCUCACCAAGGCGAUGAUACAUAGCCGACCUGAGAGGGUGAUCGGCCACAUUGGGACUGAGGCACGGCCCAAACUCCUACGGGAGGCAGCAGUAGGGAAUCUUCGGCAAUGGACGAAAGUCUGACCGAGCAACGCCGCGUGAGUGAAGAAGGUUUUCGGAUCGUAAAACUCUGUUGGUAGAGAAGAACGUUGGUGAGAGUGGAAAGCUCAUCAAGUGACGGUAACUACCCAGAAAGGGACGGCUAACUACGU